This 32-nucleotide small RNA is filed under the name Arabidopsis thaliana (thale cress). RNAcentral describes it as "ATSL163490". Lineage: Eukaryota; Viridiplantae; Streptophyta; Magnoliopsida; Brassicales; Brassicaceae. The record is from RNAcentral.
CCAAAAAGGUAUCACAUGCCAAGUUUGGCCUC